This 167-nucleotide ribosomal RNA is filed under the name Mycena sp. Its description in RNAcentral is "partial large subunit ribosomal RNA". It matches the Rfam family "Eukaryotic large subunit ribosomal RNA", at positions 99 to 258 of the family's 3401-position model. Lineage: Eukaryota; Fungi; Basidiomycota; Agaricomycetes; Agaricales; Mycenaceae. The record is from RNAcentral.
CGGGAAAAGCUCAAAUUUAAAAUCUGGCGGUCCCUGUGGCCGUCCGAGUUGUAAUUUAGAGAAGUGUUACCCGUGCUGGCCCGUGUAUAAGUCUCCUGGGAUGGAGCGUCAUAGAGGGUGAGAAUCCCGUCUUUGACACGGACUCCAGUACAUUGUGGUGCGCUCUC